AUUUAAUAUGUCAAUAGAGGUACAAAUAAAAAGUAGAAUUUAUUUUUUAUUUGUUUAAAAGGGAAGUAGGUUAAAAUCCUACGCGGUCCCGCCGCUGUAAUGGUGAGAAACUUCAAUUUAUGCCACUGAUUUUUAAAUUGGGAAGGUUUGAAGAGACGAUGAUCCUAAGCCAGAAGAACUGCCUUUAUUAUACAUUUCAU
Molecule: non-coding RNA, 200 nt
Filed under: Clostridium collagenovorans
Lineage: Bacteria; Bacillati; Bacillota; Clostridia; Eubacteriales; Clostridiaceae
Also listed under: 1 other name
Source: RNAcentral